CGGACAGGUGAGUAAUGUCUGGGAAACUGCCCGAUGGAGGGGGAUAACUACUGGAAACGGUAGCUAAUACCGCAUAACGUCGCAAGACCAAAGAGGGGACCUUCGGGCCUCUUGCCAUCGGAUGUGCCCAGAUGGGAUUAGCUAGUAGGUGGGGUAACGGCUCACCUAGGCGACGAUCCCUAGCUGGUCUGAGAGGAUGACCAGCCACACUGGAACUGAGACACGGUCCAG
This 231-nucleotide ribosomal RNA is filed under the name uncultured bacterium. RNAcentral describes it as "partial 16S ribosomal RNA". It matches the Rfam family "Bacterial small subunit ribosomal RNA", at positions 99 to 334 of the family's 1533-position model. The record is from RNAcentral.